Molecule: non-coding RNA, 119 nt
Organism: Eucalyptus grandis
Lineage: Eukaryota; Viridiplantae; Streptophyta; Magnoliopsida; Myrtales; Myrtaceae
Source: Rfam
GGGAGGGAUCAUACCAGCACUAAUGCACCGGAUCCCAUUAGAACUCCGAAGUUAAGCGUGCUUGGGCGAGAGUAGUACUAGGAUGGGUGACCUCCUGGGAAGUCCUCGUGUUGCAUCCA